UACAGAGGGUGCGAGCGUUAAUCGGAAUUACUGGGCGUAAAGCGUGCGUAGACGGUCAUGUAAGUCGGGUGUGAAGGCCCCGGGCUCAACCUGGGAAUUGCAUUCGAGACUGCAUGGCUAGGAUGCGGAAGAGGGAAGCGGAAUUUCCGGUGUAGCGGUGAAAUGCGUAGAUAUCGGAAGGAACACCAGUGGCGAAAGCGGCUUCCUGGUCCAGCAUCGACGUUCAGGCACGAAAGCGUGGGGAGCAAACAGG
This 253-nucleotide ribosomal RNA is filed under the name uncultured bacterium. Its description in RNAcentral is "partial 16S ribosomal RNA". It matches the Rfam family "Bacterial small subunit ribosomal RNA", at positions 524 to 776 of the family's 1533-position model. The record is from RNAcentral.